Molecule: ribosomal RNA, 200 nt
Filed under: uncultured bacterium
Lineage: Bacteria
Description: partial 16S ribosomal RNA
Rfam family: Bacterial small subunit ribosomal RNA
Source: RNAcentral
AGAGUUUGAUCCUGGCUCAGAACGAACGCUGGCGGCAUGCCUAACACAUGCAAGUCGAACGCUCUGCCGGUUUCGGCCGGUAGGGAGUGGCGCACGGGUGAGUAGCGCGUGGGAACCUGCCUUCCUGUGGGGGAUAACCGAGGGAAACUUCGGCUAAUACCGCAUACGCCCGGGCGACCGGGGAAAGAUUGAUCGCAGGA